Molecule: ribosomal RNA, 462 nt
Filed under: uncultured bacterium
Lineage: Bacteria
Description: bacterial SSU rRNA
Rfam family: Bacterial small subunit ribosomal RNA
Source: RNAcentral
UCGAGAAUCUUCCGCAAUGGGCGAAAGCCUGACGCAGCGACGCCGCGUGGGGGAUGAAGGUCUUCGGAUUGUAAACCCCUUUCGGCAGGGAAGAUGGAACGGGUAACCGUUCGGACGGUACCUGCAGAAGCAGCCACGGCUAACUUCGUGCCAGCAGCCGCGGUAAUACGAAGGUGGCAAGCGUUGUUCGGAUUUACUGGGCGUACAGGGAGCGUAGGCGGUUGGGUAAGCCCUCCGUGAAAUCUCCGGGCCUAACCCGGAAAGUGCGGAGGGGACUGCUCGGCUAGAGGAUGGGAGAGGAGCGCGGAAUUCCCGGUGUAGCGGUGGAAUGCGUAGAUAUCAGGAAGAACACCUGUGGCGAAGGCGGCUAGCUGGGCCAGUUCUGACGCUCAUCCGCGAAAGCGUGGGGAGCAAACAGGAUUAGAUACCCUUGUAGUCCCUGAGCGGGCUGGCAAGGCGCAU